CACGUAGGCACCAAGCGUUGUCCGGAUUUAUUGGGUUUAAAGGGUGCGUAGGCGGCCCUGUAAGUCAGUGGUGAAAUACUCCAGCUUAACUGGAGGGGUGCCAUUGAUACUGCAGGGCUUGAGUACAGAUGAAGUAGGCGGAAUUGACGGUGUAGCGGUGAAAUGCAUAGAUAUCGUCAAGAACUCCGAUAGCGAAGGCAGCUUACUAAGCUGUAACUGACGCUGAGGCACGAAAGUGUGGGGAUCAAACAGG
This 253-nucleotide ribosomal RNA is filed under the name uncultured bacterium. RNAcentral describes it as "partial 16S ribosomal RNA". It matches the Rfam family "Bacterial small subunit ribosomal RNA", at positions 524 to 776 of the family's 1533-position model. The record is from RNAcentral.